RNAcentral lists this small RNA (779 nucleotides) under Histoplasma capsulatum. RNAcentral's name for it is "hypothetical RNA". The record is from RNAcentral. Lineage: Eukaryota; Fungi; Ascomycota; Eurotiomycetes; Onygenales; Ajellomycetaceae. RNAcentral also lists the same sequence under 1 other name.
CCCGCAGCGCAUCUUCCACCCUUAUUCCUCUCCCGUACAACGUCCAUGUCCUAUAUGGCAGUAGUAUCUAUGAAGCGCAGGGAAUGAGCUCUUCCACCAAAUUCGGGCGGGACGAUCAGGAGACCGUUUUAUACUGGUUUUGGUCGCGUGCUAAAAGUUCAUAACUGGCAGGGCAACGUCCGUCGUUGGGAAGUUCAAACUGCGUUGUGGCUAGGAGCUAAAAAAGCAUACCCAUCUCGAGUUUAUUUAUUUUCUUGGUAAGAUUAGAGAGCUUUUCGUCUUCUGCUCCACUGGUUUUUAGAGUUCCAGUAGUGGGGUUACGCUCAUUAUUGAGUCCGUGGUUGUGGUUGCGGUUUCGGGGCUAACUUCAUGCUUUUUUUUUUUUCCAAUAUGCAGUCUGUCUGUCUCAUGUAACAUGGAGUUGGUGAGAAUGAAUGGUUGGAGACGUAAAGUUGGAUCAAUGGCUCAGCGCGAUGUUUUUGAGCCAACGAUAUGGUCAAAAAGGAGUGGGGCCCAGGUUGAGGGGGUAUGUUUGGGACGGAGUUACAUGUAAAUAAAAUGCAAAGUGCUAGUUAGCUACACAGUUGCUAUCCGGUUGAUGUUAUUUACCACUGCUGCACUCCUCGCAAAGUUCGAGCUGAGUUGAUGCAGUUUUGUCGAAGGGAGGAUGACACCUUGAGAGUUGCAGGUCAAUAAGUAUAACUAAUCUAUACAGUAGAUAUCGCGCGGCCGGAAGAGGGCUUUACUUCGCGCACAAGAUUUUAUCACUUGCCCGAGGC